GACCGAUGCCGGAGAAGAAGAGGAAACAGGCCCAGGCCAGGAAGAGCAGCACCGGCCACCUCUGCAUCCUGCAAGGGUGGGAGAAGGAGGGCUCUGUGCCUGCCCCCCUCUGCGCAGACUCCACGUAGCAGCCUGCAUUGGAGCAUCUUCCGCGUCGAAGGAACGAACCCCCACCCUGCUGCCCUACUCCUCCUCACGGACUCCAGUGGGCCGCCUCCAGUGCGACCGAGGGCAGACACCAGCCUGCCACGGCCCAGCACACAACUGCUGCUGAGAAAAGGGCAACGCUUCGGAAAGCCGCCAGGGAGUCACGGCCAUGCAGGGCCUCAGCCCCUGCGCAGAACUCGUUGACCCAUCCCUGCAGGGAAAGGCAACGGUGCAGCAAUUCACGCUUGCCAGGGAGAGCAUGUGUUUCACCUGAUGCCUUGCAAGCUCAUGCGCCCAGUGUCCAGCUAGCCUGGAUAGGGCUGCAAACAGGAUCUCUAAUUCAGAGGAGCUUGACUGGUCCCACGCCCUAGAGGGGGGAUGCUCCAGCCAGGACAGUGGGCUGCAAAGAAGUUAGAUCUGAGACCCAACUUUGUUCUCUGAAGAAGCAGCAGGUGCAUGUGAGACUGGGGCAUUUUCAUAGCAAAGGGAAUCCGGACUUGGUUGCGUUCAGCAAUCGCGCAGGCUGGUGAAGAAGUUCUUUUCAGAUUUCGGAGUCACCAGCGAGAUUUGCAUUUAAACAGCAUUUGCCCCCCACCACUUGUUUCCUCCUGUUUGAGCACUGCUGGUCCCCUGGCUACAAUCAGUGGCUCUGGAUUUUCUACAGAACGGAGGGUGGGGGCAGUUCUAUCCCACUUGUUCUAUCUCUAAGAACUAGGCUUGUAAGAAUUUGAUUGUUGUCGGUAAAUGUCGACUUCACAUCCCCUACUUCCACUGAUCAUAACCGAAACUACAGAUAGGCAACAAGAAAUGUUGCUUGAGGAUGUAUUAGAGGUUGAUUGAAAGAUAUUUACAUUGCAUAUUUUGACCUGUGACAAAUUUGAUAAUUUGUGUUUUAAUGGCUAUCAAACUUUUGGAAUCUCAACAUCUGUCACUGCUGGGGCAGGAGGUGAAGUGCUCAAAUAAAAGAACAGGAGAAUACAAGUAGGAGCCUGGGAAGCGAGGAGGAGGAAAGAAGGAAAAUUGGAAAGGUUUCCGGUCAGGAGAAGUAGGAAAAGAUAGACCUGGAUAUGUGAACAGAAAGAAUGAGAGAAAGGAAGUAGAGGGAAAUCAAAUCUUAGCGGAGUAUCCAGGGAAAUACUGAAAGGAAAUAUAGCUAGUGAAAAAGGGAACUGAUUGUGAACCUGCAUUAGAUGAAAACGGAUCCCGAAAACAGGAAACGAGGCACACAAUCGCACAGGACAUAAAGUGUGUGAAUAGAGAGAAUGACUGUGUGAGCAGCUUGUGACAGAAUGGACAAGCGAGGCCCUACGUGAAGAAACCCACGUGUGGCUGAACUGAGAGCAAAGAGGUACAGCCACAGGAAUGCUGGAUCUAAGGAGAGCUACAAGCCGAAGAGAAGCAAAGGACGAGACAGCAAGACUGGAGCUGGACUUACAGCCAAGGAGAGAAAAACCCUGUUGAGUAAUUUCUUUUGUUCCGGUUAAUAACAACGUAUUUGGUAAUAACUGCGGAGUAAGGAAGAGCUGGGUGGACAAGCUUGCCAAGGUUAAUGUGUUGGUAACUUGGAGUUUAUUAAUAUAAGUAGCAAGUUCUUGAUAAUAUUCUAUUUUAUGCUUCGGCUACAAUUUUUGAGUUUCCCUUAUAAAGUUCUAACAAUCUGAA
Malaclemys terrapin pileata is the source of this 1809-nucleotide long non-coding RNA. RefSeq lists it as uncharacterized. The transcript has 2 exons. NCBI's taxonomy places the organism in Eukaryota, Metazoa, Chordata, Testudines, Emydidae. The record is from RefSeq and is a predicted model, not a curated record.